GAUGAACGCUGGCGGCGUGCCUAAUACAUGCAAGUCGAGCGGACGGACGAGAAGCUUGCUUCUCUGAUGUUAGCGGCGGACGGGUGAGUCACACGUGUAUAACCUACCUAUAAGACUGGGAUAUCUUCGGGAAAGGGGAGCUUAUACCGGAUGAUCUUUUGAACCGCAUGGUUCAAUAGUGAAAGACGGUCUUGCUGUCACUUAUAGAUGGAUCCGCGCUGCAUUAGCUAGUUGGUAAGGUCACGGCUUACCAAGGCGACGAUGCAUAACCGACCUGUGAGGGUGAUCGGCCACACUGGAACUGAGACACGGUCCAGGCGCCUACGGGAGGCACCAGUAGCGAAUCGUCCGCAGUGGGCGGAAGCCUGGCGGAGCAACGCCGCGUGAGUGAUGAAGAUCCUGGGAUCGUAAAGCUCUGUUAUUAGGGAAGAACAGAUGUGUAAGUAGCUGAGCAGAGCGUGACGGUACCUGAUCAGAAAGCAACGGCUAACUACGUG
RNAcentral lists this ribosomal RNA (497 nucleotides) under uncultured bacterium. RNAcentral's name for it is "partial 16S ribosomal RNA". It matches the Rfam family "Bacterial small subunit ribosomal RNA", at positions 28 to 507 of the family's 1533-position model. The record is from RNAcentral.